This 777-nucleotide long non-coding RNA is filed under the name Capra hircus (goat). RNAcentral describes it as "lncRNA (ENSCHIG00000005248.1)". Lineage: Eukaryota; Metazoa; Chordata; Mammalia; Artiodactyla; Bovidae. The record is from RNAcentral.
UCACUGACAUGUUCUUACAGGGGACAGUUUCCCAGUUUUGAAGAGACCUGUUGGGAUAAACACAUUCAAGAUAAUAGCGUUGGGACAGGACAAAAGCCACAUCAUUGUAAAAAUGCCUUCAACCUGAAACAUUCUGAUGGAACUAUGCAUGAACAAUGGACACACACUGCCUAAUGUGGGAUGGAAGAGUAGCUGGCGGACCGCGGCAUUCUUUGGAUUCGUGGGAAAGUGUAUAAAAACACAUAAAGAAGGCUGAGUGCCGAAGAACUGAUGCUUUCUAACUGUGGUGCUGGAGAAAACUCUUGAGAGUCCCUUGGACAGCAAGGAGACCAAACCAGUCCAUCCUAAAGGGAAUCAACCCCAAAUAUUCAUUGGAAGGACUGAUGAUGAAGCUCCAAUACUUUGGCCACCUGAUGUGAAAAGCCAACUCAGUGGAAAAGACCCUGAUUCUGGAAACAUUGAGGACAGAAAGAGAAGGGGUGACAGAAAAUGAGAUGGUUGGAUGGCAUCACUGACUUAAUGGACAUGAGUUUGAGCAAACUCUGGGAGAUAGUAAAGGACAAGGAAGCCUGAUGUGCUGCAGUCCAUGGGGUCACAAAUAUUAGGACAUGACUUAGCAACUGAGCAACUGAAAAACAACAACAUGAUAUGACACAACAAAGAAUGUAAAGAAAAAAAAUUAAGGCUCUCAAAUAAAGAUAAAAUCGCAAUAAUAUGGGUAGUGGAAUACAAUAUUUUUAUUUUAAAAUCUUUAAUAUUAAUACCACAAUAGAAUGC